GAUGGUGUCUGGUACAAAGAUCGGAUGAGGUUCAUCUACAGAACUAAGGUUUUGGGGAGCUGGAAUGGACGAACUCCUAGAACUGCUAGAGGAGGAAGUGCUGGAGGAUAUUUUGAAUUGAGUAAAAACCCUAAAAAAGUUGAGAAAAAUAAGAAACAGGAUGUUCGUGGAAAACUGAACAGGUGGAAUGUAAAGGAAGAAAAAUGGAAGAAGAAUAGCAAGAGAAAAAAAAGAGGGAAGUUCUGGAACUAACCUAGGCUGGUCCGAAGGAUGCCGAGAUGCAGAGAUGGGGAUGACUCGAAGAACGCCUA
RNAcentral lists this long non-coding RNA (311 nucleotides) under Elaeis guineensis (African oil palm). RNAcentral's name for it is "long non-coding RNA (EGUI_LNC060396)". Lineage: Eukaryota; Viridiplantae; Streptophyta; Magnoliopsida; Arecales; Arecaceae. The record is from RNAcentral.